RNAcentral lists this transfer RNA (61 nucleotides) under Fukomys damarensis (Damara mole-rat). It matches the Rfam family "tRNA", at positions 5 to 66 of the family's 71-position model. Rfam says of the family: Transfer RNA (tRNA) molecules are approximately 80 nucleotides in length. Their secondary structure includes four short double-helical elements and three loops (D, anti-codon, and T loops). Further hydrogen bonds mediate the characteristic L-shaped molecular structure. tRNAs have two regions of fundamental functional importance: the anti-codon, which is responsible for specific mRNA codon recognition, and the 3' end, to which the tRNAs corresponding amino acid is attached (by aminoacyl-tRNA synthetases). tRNAs cope with the degeneracy of the genetic code in two manners: having more than one tRNA (with a specific anti-codon) for a particular amino acid; and 'wobble' base-pairing, i.e. permitting non-standard base-pairing at the 3rd anti-codon position. The record is from Rfam by way of RNAcentral. Lineage: Eukaryota; Metazoa; Chordata; Mammalia; Rodentia; Bathyergidae.
GUAUAGCUCAGUGGUAGAGCACUCGCCUAAUGUGUGAAACCCUGGGUUUGAUCCCCAGUAC